GAUAGAAUUUCUAGGAGUAGCGAAGGAAGGUUGAUCAGUAAUGUAAAAACAGAAAAAGAUGACUGAAAAGGUCAGAGCAAUCAGUAUGGAGAGAGGCAAGAAAUGACAGGCCAACCGACUAACUUAAGAUUGCAUUGCAGUUAGACUGGAAGAGAGAUGACUAAGCCCAGAAACAUCGGAUAGUUUAGCUGUUUGAGAAAUAGAAGAUACAUUGAGAGAUACAGAGCGUUUUGAAUAUUGAGUGUAAGGUGGAAAUAUUGUAGAUAGUGGAAGAAUCUGCAAGGAUAGUCCAUGAUAAUACUUGCAUCUGAUACAUCCCAAAGCGCUUCACCAGAUUUUCUGUAAAUUGGUUUGGGUGAUUUUCCACUGUGAUAGACUGAAUGCGAGGAUAACCAUUGGCUGAUACUCCAGUGCAGUGGGUGUAUUAUUGGACAUAACAUCCUUCGAUGAGGCAUUAAACCAAGAUCGCAUAUUUGGAAAGUGAAGGAAGUUUCUCCUGCUAUCCCGAUCGAUAUUCCCACAGCCUGAAUAGAAAUCAUAAUUGACCAGAUGUACUGUGAGCAAUCAUCAUUUCCUGCCACGGUAUUAACUUGCAACGGCAAUGGUUUGGAAUAUUAAAGCCAAAUAUCCGACAAUAGUUGCUUCCAAGCCCUUUACAGCCUAAGGACGAUUCAGAAACAUGAGAUAUGCGACACCAUUUGUAGGGAUGACUGAUGUUUAGUCUCAGUUUCUGUUCAGCCAGUAGAGAUGGACCAACCCACGCGGAUGAGUCACUCACUCUGUGUUCUUCUGAGAUUCAUUACCGUGCUCCAAGAUGAUGUGGGAACAUGCAGCUGAGCUCCAUUUCUGAUAGGCUGACUUGCAUUAUCAUCCACACAGCCACGCACAAGGUGCAUGAUCAGGGAUUCUCCUCUGUGCUGUGCAGUGUAUGGUAACAGUAAACCUUCUCCUUUCCAAGAAGCUUGCACAACAGGCAGAGCAAGCUUCUAACUUGGACACUCAAAAAACACCACGUGAUUGCACAUCAAUUACCCUGAGGGUUUACUUUGCUCCUGCUGAAGUGGAUGUUUUUCUGUUUUUAUUUAACAUGUUUUAGGCUGCUGUGGACGGAUUUCAAAAGCCAUCAAACACCCAAGGAUUCGUACAGUUGUAGUAAAAUGAUUGGGGAGUGUUAGGGUUGCAGUGAGUUGUACUGUAGAGUUUGUAAUAAUAA
Molecule: long non-coding RNA, 1213 nt
Organism: Callorhinchus milii (elephant shark)
Lineage: Eukaryota; Metazoa; Chordata; Chondrichthyes; Chimaeriformes; Callorhinchidae
Exons: 3
Source: RefSeq, a predicted model, not a curated record